AUACGGAGGAUCCGAGCGUUAUCCGGAUUUAUUGGGUUUAAAGGGAGCGUAGGUGGACAGUUAAGUCAGUUGUGAAAGUUUGCGGCUCAACCGUAAAAUUGCAGUUGAUACUGGCUGUCUUGAGUAAAGUAGAGGUGGGCGGAAUUCGUGGGGUAGCGGUGAAAUGCUUAGAUAUCACGAAGAACUCCGAUUGCGAAGGCAGCUCACUGGACUGCAACUGACACUGAUGCUCGAAAGUGUGGGUAUCAAACAGGAUUAGAUACCCUGGUAGUCCACACAGUAAACGAUGAAUACUCGCUGUUUGCGAUACACUGUAAGCGGCCAAGCGAAAGCGUUAAGUAUUCCACCUGGGGAGUACGCCGGCAACGGUGAAACUCAAAGGAAUUGGCGGGG
Molecule: ribosomal RNA, 393 nt
Filed under: uncultured bacterium
Lineage: Bacteria
Description: partial 16S ribosomal RNA
Rfam family: Bacterial small subunit ribosomal RNA
Source: RNAcentral